This is a non-coding RNA of Acanthosepion pharaonis, 111 nucleotides long. The record is from the annotation of a GenBank genome assembly. Lineage: Eukaryota; Metazoa; Mollusca; Cephalopoda; Sepiida; Sepiidae.
UUACGGCCAUAUCACGUUGAAAUACCAGUUCGUGUAAGAUCACGGAAGUUAAGCAACGUUGAACCUAGUCAGUACCAAGAUGGGUGACCGCUUGGGAAUAACAGGUCCUGU